CUCGUAGGCGGUUCAACAAGUCGGUCGUGAAAGCCCGGGGCUCAACCCGGGACGCCGGUCGAAACUGUUGUGACUAGGGUCCGGUAGAGGUGAGUGGAAUUCUCGGUGUAGCGGUGGAAUGCGCAGAUAUCGAGAGGAACACCAGUAGCGAAGGCGGCUCACUGGGCCGGUACCGACGCUGAGGAGCGAAAGCAUGGGGAGCAAACA
This 207-nucleotide ribosomal RNA is filed under the name uncultured bacterium. RNAcentral's name for it is "partial 16S ribosomal RNA". It matches the Rfam family "Bacterial small subunit ribosomal RNA", at positions 568 to 774 of the family's 1533-position model. The record is from RNAcentral.